This 1702-nucleotide ribosomal RNA is filed under the name Triticum aestivum (bread wheat). Its description in RNAcentral is "partial small subunit ribosomal RNA". Lineage: Eukaryota; Viridiplantae; Streptophyta; Magnoliopsida; Poales; Poaceae. The record is from RNAcentral.
AGAUCCAUCUUUUCACUUGGCCGCCCUUCGCUUCACCUACCACCCCAAGCACCGGAGUACCCCUACGGUCGAAACAAAAAGCGGUGGAGGCGCGAGCGGCUGGGGCAGCCGGAUACUCUUACCAAGUCGUCGGAGGAGUAGCGGUGACAACGUUGGAGGCGAAUACACGAAUGUAGUGUAGGGGAGAAACAUGAACCUAGAGUGACAUCGGAGGAGUCAGGAGUAGUACGGAUAUCCAAGCCAAGAAUAUUUAGAUCUUUUGACUUUUAAUAAAAGAACUAACCAAACAUGUUAUCACAGACUCUCCGACUUCGAAGGAUGCUAGACCGACCGAGAAUAAUGUAGAUUUAUACCUCCUUUUGUCCCGUUACUAUACCGAUAUUUUGAAAAGGAUAUUUGACUUAUACGUAUGUUUAAAUCAUUUUAGUUAUAUCCUCUUUAGUGACACAAUUUACAGUUCAUUUGACCAUUAUUGUUCUCUUUGUACGAAAUCGUAGAGUAAUAAAACUGGUUAUGUAAUAAAACUCAGUAGGUUGUUCAAUGAUUCUACAACAAGUUUUAACCAAGGUUUUGACAUGUAUAACACACCACAACUUAACCAUAAUAUACGUACGGUAUAAAAAGAUGUCUAACGAGAAAGUUAGUAAUCCAUCUCCAUUCUUUGUAGACUCCGUCCCAGUAUAGACGCGGGAGCUUCGGCGGACGUUGUACAAAGUUAGGGGAGAGACAUGUUCCAAGAGGGACUAAGGAGGUAAAAGGUUAUAAGUACUUGGUACAACAAAGAAACCAAAAUCUAAUGAUGGGACGUAAACUGGGUGAUUUGCAAAAACGGAACGAAAGGAACUCAUACAAGUCUCCCAGUUACAAGUAUAAUACUUAGGGUAGAGGUCGGAUAUAUGUGUUGCAUAGAAGUUCGUAGAGUUUCGCUCUUGCAUAACAGGGAAGAUCCCAAGUCGGUGUCUUAAUAACUCUCAGGUUGAUAGGAACCCGUUCCCUAGAGUCUUCUAUUAUGUUGUGGUCAAUCACAUCGACGAAGGUUACUAUCUCUUUGUUAACUUUGUUCCAUGACGGGUAUCUAUACGUAUAAAUAAAUUAAGGAGUUGGUUACAAAAUUGUGUUUUAAAAGAAAGUGUAUUUGAAGCCAUCUCUUCCUUUUGGGCUGAAAUGACUUCUAUGAUCCUCGUUUAAGGCUACUAAAUUAUUUGAAAGGGAUGUCAUAAAAUUUUCCCUUCUGGUGAUAAUCGAUAACAACAUUCUGUACACGGUAUUAAAAGACAGAAAAACGUCGUGAUGUUUUGUGUGCUCGUGCUGUGUAAAGUCCUGUACGUAUAAUUACGGAGUUCCUUUUAUUAUAGAUAGUUCCAUAAUAGGUAGUGUAUUUAGAUUAUUAGAUUGUUACGAUGUUUAAAAUGUCGUACAUCCCGUUGUAGUUCGAAACGAUGUUACUUCUACGUACGAAGUCAAGGGUUGUGCGGUAAUAUCAUAGUUAUUAGUGAUGAAAACUAGCGACGGAUAAUAUUCGCUCUCUCUAAGAGUAUGAAGGUCUACAAAAAGUCGACAUGUUCUGAUGUUUAUAUAAUAGUACGACCUCAUGUACAUAGACGGGAUUAAUAACUAUAGACUAUAUUAUACACGUAAAAUACGUUUGGAGGUGAAACUCCGUACACAACCGGAUAAAGGGAAUUUAGUUACAUCUAACGAU